GUGAAUCAUCGAAUUUUUGAACGCAAAUUGCACUCUCUGGUAUUCCGGAGAGUAUGCCUGUUUGAGGGUCGGUUUAAAUAAAAAUCGGUGUGGUUGCUGCCUUUCGGGGUGACGCACCGGAUUUGGUUCGUCUUGCCUUCGGUUAAGUGACGUAAAAUUAUGCAUGAUUUUUUUCGCACGUAUUUAAAUGAAUUUAAGUUCUUUUUUGAUACCUAAU
Molecule: unclassified non-coding RNA, 217 nt
Filed under: Glomeraceae sp.
Lineage: Eukaryota; Fungi; Glomeromycota; Glomeromycetes; Glomerales; Glomeraceae
Description: partial contains 5.8S ribosomal RNA and internal transcribed spacer 2
Rfam family: 5.8S ribosomal RNA (bases 1-71)
Source: RNAcentral